GCUGGGCAUGGUGGUGCAUGCCUGUAGUCCUAGCUACUCAGGAGGCUGAGUUAGGAGAAUUGCUUGAGCCCAGGAGGUCAAGGCUUCAGUGAAUGGUAAUCAUGCCACUGCUCUCUAGCCUGGGUGACAGAGCAAGACUCUGUCUCUA
Pongo abelii (Sumatran orangutan) is the source of this 148-nucleotide unclassified non-coding RNA. It matches the Rfam family "Metazoan signal recognition particle RNA". Rfam says of the family: The signal recognition particle (SRP) is a universally conserved ribonucleoprotein. Lineage: Eukaryota; Metazoa; Chordata; Mammalia; Primates; Hominidae. The record is from Ensembl.